RNAcentral lists this long non-coding RNA (8288 nucleotides) under Heterocephalus glaber (naked mole-rat). RNAcentral's name for it is "lncRNA (ENSHGLG00000045165.1)". The record is from RNAcentral. Lineage: Eukaryota; Metazoa; Chordata; Mammalia; Rodentia; Bathyergidae.
GCACUUUCUCUCUCUAUGCAGAUCAAUAGGGCCCUUGGAUAUGACCUCGAGUUCAAUUAUGGCUUCCAUUAUGGAAUAAAGAGGCUGUUAUCGCACACCUACCGCUUACAGAAACAGUGCACUGGGGGGGCCGGCCGAGACAGGUCCUGGGGGAAAUCAUUACCUCACUAAUUUGAAAUCAAUUUAAAGCACAUUUGCUUAAUGGUAUGAGCAUUGAGAAUUAUCUAUAAAUUGUUAAUUUAGUGGAAUGUCACACCAGAUUUUCAUUUUACAAAUUGCACUUCUGGGUUGGCCGAUGUGAGGGUGGGUGUCCUUCCUCUCCCUGUCACCCUUGCUCUCAUGAAAGGAAGCUCGAAUCUGCCUCCUGUGGUCUGAGCUUGCAGACUUCAGAAUCUGAGGCAAUGAGGGCAGAAGAGGCACGGUGGGAAGAGCUUGCACACACGUGACCCACCCCUGCCUUGGGGACAGUUUGAGGAGGAGGAUGGGGCAGAGCAGGGGACCCCGGAAGAGCUGACCUCCUUCUGAGCUGCCUCUGCCUGGCUCGGUGCGGGGAGGUCGCUAUGGCCUCUCCUCGGUGGGUCACUGUCUCUGUCUGGACUGGAGGACGGGAGCACUGGCAGCGAAGCAGCCUCCAGGGUGAGCGAGCGCCUAGUGGCCAAGGUCUUCUAUGUCCCCCACAGCGGGUGUCCAAAGAGCCCAGGGUAUUGGCUGAAGUGACAGCUUUCUCCCUUCGCCUUCAGGUGUGCGGGGCAUUGGGCUGGCUCUUGGGAGCAGGUAGGGAUCUCUGUACCCAACCAGCUGGAACUGUCCCAGGCACGGGACUAGAGACUAGAAUAAGGAAACUGCCCUCAACAACAGCCACCAGGACAGGUUAUCACUUGCUUUUAUGGAGCCCUUUGUGCCCUGCUCUGUGCCCAGGGCUUGCCAAAUCCUCGCUGGAAUACUGAAUUAGGGUUAUCAUCAGCCCCAUUCAACAGAUGAAGUUCUGAGACUGGCUGAUUGUUUGAAAAAAGUGGUCAUAAUAAUCCUCUCCCCAGCCCUUUGCAACAUGAUCGUGGGGUCCCUCCUGUUAGGAGGUAGGAACUGUUCCCCACUGGAACCUGGGCUGACCUGGGGCCCACAGCGACACCAGAAAGCAGCCGAAGUGAUGUGUGCCAGUUCUGAUGCCCGGCCUUGGGUCUUGGUUCCCUUGAGCUGCCAUCACAAAGCACCAUAAUUGGUGAUUGAAAUUUAUUUUCCCACAGUUCUGGAGAUAGAAGUCCAAGAUCGAGGUGGUGGCAGGACUGGUUUCUCUCCUGGGUUGGCACAUGGCUGUGUUCUCCCUGUAUUCUCAUAUGGUCCCUCUGUGCCCUUGGUGUCUCUUUGGGUCCUAAUGUCUUCUUGGAAGGACAAUGGUCAGACUGGAGUAGGGCCACCCAAAUGCCCUCAUUCUAACUUCAUCUCUUGCCAAAAGCAGUCACAAUCUGAGGUACUGGGAGUUAGCCCUUCAACGUAGGAAUUUCGAGAUGGUAGUGUGUUCUGGUUUAUAUCCAAAAUGCCCUCCCUCAAAGUCUCAUAUGCUCAGAGGUGGAGCUUUUGAAGGAUUGCAUCAUGGGGAUGUUAUACUCAUUGGUGGAUUCAUCCAUUGAUGAAUUAAUAACUGAAUGUGCUGUUAGGAGGUGAGGUCUGGUCAAAAGAGAUGGAUCACUGGAGGUGUGACCUGAAAGGGUGUGUCCUUGUCCUUGGCUCCUCCCUUCUCUCUCUCCUUCCUGGCUACUUGUUGAGCAGCUUUCAUUCACCAGCCCCUUCUGUUAUGCUGUUUCUUCCCUGAAGCCAGCCAACCAUGGACCGAACCCACUGUAACCAUGAGCCAAGUAAACAUUUCCUCCUUGAAGUUGUGAGAGUCAGGUACUGUAUUUUUCCCCAAUGACAAGAAAGUAACUAACAUGCUGAGGGGCAAUUCAGCUCAUAACAUCAGUCAUAUUGGAUUAGGACUCACUCUAAUGAUCUCAUCUUAACUAGAUCAUGUCUGUAAAGAUCAUAUUUCUCAAUAAGGUCACAUUCAGAGACACCAAAAGUUAGGACUUCAACAUAGCCUUUUUGGGGGACACAAUUCAGCCCAUAACAGGGGCCAUGUGCACAGGCACACAUUCUCCAGGAACCCUGACACCAUGAGCAAGCCAGAGCUAGCCCACUGCAAGGCAAAUGAUACAUGGCCCUCUGACCUCUGCUCCUUGGCCUGACUGUCAGCCAAGGCUUCCAAAGCACAGCCACCAGCUAACCGAAAGCUGGGUCAGAAAAACCACUCAGAUGAGCCCAGCUUAAUUUGGGAUCUAAGAGAACUGUAAGAUGAACACAAGGUUGUUUUAAGCCACUAGAAUUUGAAGUGGUUUUUCAGGCUGAAGAAGCAAUGGAUAAACAGGCUGAGUGAGAUUAAGUGGCAUGUGCAAGGUUGCAUAGCUCCAUGGCAACCCGGGUCAGGGACAGGACAGGUGUCAGGUUCUGCCAAGCACUCACAGGGGCAGGGAAGGCAGUGGGAAGCCAGGACGGGGAGGGCAGAAGGUGCAGAGGAUCGAAGGCUCCAUAAUGACAUGUCCCCCUGCAGCCAGGGCACCCUUCUCCCCAGUUCUGAUGAGAUCAUUCCCAUUUCACAGGUGGGCAGACCUGGGGCUCUCACGAAGGCUUCCUGGAGGAAGCUGAGCCCCGAAGGAUGAGGGGGGCGCUACCCAGUGCAGUAGGAACAGGAUCACGUGAGGGAGAGGGAGCAGCCACACAAAGCCACUGAGAAUUUGGCUCAGGAGAGGCCUGAGGUGCAAAGGGGAGGCUGUGGCAUGAGAUGAAAACAGGCACAGUGAGACCCUGCCGGCCUUUGAAGGCAGUGUGAAGCUUCGCCUUAAAUUCUGGAGGUAGUGGGCAGUGGUGCAGUCAGCUACUGCUCUAACAGUGCUGCAUAACAAGCACGCACAAGUCCAGUGGCUUCAAUCAUUCCCUGUCAGCUGGGAGUUGGCUGAUCUACAGUAGGAUGAGCUGGGCUUGAUUCCAGGGGUGCCGGCAGGUCCAUGGGUCCCUUGGCCUCCUGAAAGCAGGUGGUUCUUGGGGACAUAUCCUUCCCCUGGAGGGGCAGAAACAGGGCCACUUUCAAGGUGGCACAUUUCAAGCCUUCGCUUGCUUUACACUUGCCAAAUCCCAGUGGGCAACAAAGUCCCCCUGGCCAGAUCCACCAUCAAUCGGACAAGAAAACCUAUUCCGCCCUUAGUCAGAGAAGAACAACAGGGCAGGGAUCGGUUUCUGUUUAUUGAAGAGCUUUGCAACUGCAAGUACACACACACUGUCCUGAGUUGGGAGAAGCCUGUUUGGUAACAGUGAUGAAGAUAGCUGAGCGAUGGCAUAGCAGGGAUCGCUGUGGCCAAGGCCUGGACAAACACUAUCUUAUUAAAAUGCAAUCACCAUGCAUGGUCGGCAUUAUUCUGUUUAAUGGAUGAGCAAACAGGUAAAGAUCGAUCCAUGACUUGCCCAAGCAUGCAGCGGGUGUCACAUCGCAGCAGGGUGGUCGCAGAGCCAGCUCCAGCCUCCUGUUUCCAGGCUCCCUGUUCUAAGCACCCCAGUGCCAGACUGCGGCACUGGGCAAUGCCACUCUCUUGAUUUAAGGGCCCUUGAUCUAAGGGUUUCUGCUCAGAAAAGGUAUUCAGAGAAGUGCUGGUCCCAGAAGCUUUGGUGGGGAGCUCUCAGGACUGACAGCUGCUGAUGCUCUCCCCUAGGGGAGGCUGCGCCCCCUGCCUCCCCUCCUCCCUCUGCCCUGCAGCCAGGGUGAGCUUUGGAAGGAGCAAAUGGCAGCCACCUCUCUCCCCUGCUUUCAAAAGCAUCCAGAGCAGUGGUGGCGAACCUAGAGCAAGUGUGGCACAGCGGGCUGUUUGUAUCAUUGAAAGCUCUAAGAGGUUCGCCAUUGCUGCUCUAGACAAUGCAACCCUGCAGUCAAAACCCGAGGCCUGGGAAGCUUCAGGACAAAAGCCUUCCUCUGCUGCACUCUGCCCCCUCCUGCAGACACACACAGGUAACCACUCUUCUCAUUUUUCUUGGAUUUUCUUCAGAAUCAGGUUUUGCAUAUAUAAGCAAAAACGAAUAUAGAUUCUUUCACCUGCACAUUUUUUUUUCCUAAACACAUAAUCUAGUGUAUUUUACAUGGCCUUGCGAGCUCUUCUCCCCCACUUAACGCACCUUGGCAAUUUUUCCAUCUUGGCUUGGAAAAUUCCCUCAUCAUCCUUUCCAGCUGCAGAGGAUCUCACUGCCUGAGCGGGGCUGUCACUUCCUUUAUGCAUCCCUGUGCUGAGGGACAUUUGGGGGCUACAGUUCCUUGCUAUACCACACAUUUUCAGGAACUUCUGCACGUGGCCAGGGUAAGUUUAUCUGCAGGAUAAAUCCUCAAGCAGGACUGCUGAAUCAAAAGGGCUGUGUGAUUAUAGUUUUGAUAGUUACUGCUGAAUUCCAUUCCACAGCUGAACCAGUUUACAGUCCCUCGGGCAGUGCCUAGGAGAAGCUGUUUUCCCACCCCUGGCCAGUAAACUUAGCUUCUUUGCAGAUCAGUUAGGUAGGAAAUGUCCUUCUGCUUUUAAAAUCCUUUCAUCACAUCUCCAAUCCCCUCAGGGUAAACUCCUGGUUCCCUGGGCAAGGGUGGGACAGCCCUGUCCUUUUUCAAGGCUCACAACAGCCAGGAAAGGAGAUGGGGACACGGCUCAGCUCUGUGGCCUCAGCCUUAGCAGCAGCAGCACAGGGCACUUAUCUUGAGGCAGGCUGAGGGUUCCCAAGAAGGACAGACGUGGCCCGGCAAGAUAGGCACCAGAAAAACUGGCUCUCACGGACAUCUCCUGGUCCCGGGCGGCAGGGAGGAGGUGCGCUCCCUUGUCUUUCCUUGUGCUCUUGGCCUCUCCUCCCUGCAUGCCACCUUGGCACACAGGAUGCCUGCACAUCCUCGCAGACCCCAGCUGGCUGCUGUGCCCAAGCAAGCGAAGAACAUCUCAUUAAGCUUGGUAAAGCUCAUUAAGACCUCAGCCACAGAUCGGCAGCAAUUGAAGGUCAAGGUUCUUUGCAUGGGAGUCAGUGCCUUUGGGACCCUGUGGCAUCAGCAGUCACAGACAAGAUGAUGGACGACCUAUUUGUAGGUGAGGAGGCAGCCAGCUGUGUGGCCAGAGUCCCCUGGAGCACCCAAAUCGUCACCCAGGUCUUUCCCCCAGGCUUGUCCCACCCUGCUCUGGGAGGAGGACAACUGCCAGCUGGGGGUGGGACAGAUCAGUCAGCACUCAGGGCCUCAAGGGUAACAUGGGAACCCAACUUUCAGGGGUCCUGAGGGUCACAGCAGCUGCACAGAUGCCAGCGAGCCCUAGCAACCUUGGAAGAGGCGGCACUGGAACAUGGUGUGGCCUCCUCCACCCUUGACUGUCUACCCUGCGCCAUGGUACUGACAAGGUAGAAGCCAAGGGGCGGGAGGAAGAGCUGUCCCUUCAAAGUAAAUGGGGCAGGAGAGGGCUCUUUAUGAAGCGGCUUCAUGUGGGCUGCAUGCAAACGAUGUGCAAAUGACCCACCUCCACCUUAGAGAUGGGUUAUGGGGAGGGUCUCAGGACAAGGACUUGAGAUGACAGCCCUUUCUUCGAGCUCUUUCCAGGUGUCCAGGCCUCUCCCCAUAAGGUCCAUGCUCUUCAGGGAUGGCGGGCAUUUGGGAGAGGGCCGGCCCUGCAGAUGUAGCCCCCACACAAGGGUCAGUGCCGCGCAUGCUCCUGGGCAGGACCCUUCCCCUCUGCCAUGGCGAUCUGAGAAAAGCAGGAAAACAACCGUGCAAAGUCUUUUGCAAACACAAGGGGUUUCCUCGCGUAUUUUAAGAACGGGCCUCUCAAUCGGCCCGCCAGCCUCAGAUGUCCCUGUAAUCAUCAGCCUUAUUUAUUUAUUUUUGGUACCGGGAAUCAAACUUGGGUCCUUGCGCUUGCAAGGCAGGUGGCGGAACCACUAAGCUAAAUCCCUGGCCCAGCAUCGGCCUUUGUGACAACUGUAGUGAGAAGCUGUGUACACCUUGGGGAUCGAGCUCGGCUCACCAGUCCCUUGCUGCACGGUCCAGGCAAGUCAGCCCCUUGGGGCCUUGACUUCCCCACGAGUGGAAUGGGUACGACAGCAGCUAUUCCUUAAGUCGAGCCCAUGAGCCUGAACGUGUUGAGCCUGCUACACAAUGGUGUGUCCCCCCAAAACAAUGAAGUCCUGAUCCCGGCACCCCUGAACAGGAGCGUGUUUAGAAACAGGGUCUUUGCUGCUGAUCAGGUUAAGAUGAAAGCAUUGGGGUGGGGCCCGACCCAGUGUGAUUGAUAUCCCUCUUAAUCAAGGAAGAAGCUGUGAAGAGAAACAGUUAGAAAAGACGGACAUGAAGACUGAAGAUGAAGGCGGAGACUGGAGUGAUGGAUCGGAAAGCUGAUGGUGCCAGCAGAAGCUAGGGAGGCCCAGAACCUCCAGAAGGAACCAGCCCUGUCAACACCUUGAUUUUGGAUGUGCAGCCUCCGGAACUGGGAAGAGAGACUCAGUUCCGCUGUGCAAGCCAACAGCUGGUGUUGUUCCAGCAGCCACAGAACCAAACGCCAACCCUGAGAAGAGUGCCCAGUGCAGUGCGGGGUGCCAGCUGGUACCACUAAUGGCUCAAUCUCCUCACCACAGAUCUGAUAUUCUUUCAACAAACACCAAGCACGGCUCCACACCAGCUGGCACAAGAAGGGCACAGUGGUGCACACCUGUGCUGGAGGUCACUCUAGGUUUCCUCCUCACUCUGAGAUUACACCCAGCUCAGCGUGCCCAGCUUCACCAAGUUCAGAGAGCAGCGUGUAUGCCCGGGAAAGGCAGAGCCAGGCAUUCAGAAGGCUCACAAACACCCACCCGUGGAACCAGAUGGGCCCUCGAAGACAGGAGCAGCUGGCGCCCACCUCCCAUGGCAGAGGUCCCCAGGGCACCCCGGACCUCGUUCCCAGAAGAGCUGGACACCUUCCCUCCAUGCCCAUCCAAGGACAGGCCAGCUCUGUACCAGGCUCUGGCCGGGCUGCAGAGAGCACUGAGCUCUUUCAACAUGAAGAAUGGGAUGUAGCCGGAGAUGCUUCAAAGGCUCACGUUAAUGGCAGCGGUCUGCAGUCUCAUUGCACUUUAACAGGAACCAUCUGCCGUGAGCAGGCGGCAGGCACGGCCAGCUCUCCCCGCAAGGGCUGCCCCCCAACAUCCACCCUCAGAGCUGCGUGGGGGAGACGGGCUUGGACCUGUGGGGAAGGUCAUGCGGAAGCCUGCACCCCAGGAGGGCCUCAGAGGAAGCCCCAGGCUGGAGUUGGGACAUGCACAACCCCAGGCCAGUCCCUCUGUCCUCACUGGUCUGCAACAAAAGGCCUGGGGAGGACAUAGGUGUCACCCAGCUGUAGCCCACACAAAGAAGACGGGAGGGGACGAGGAGCAGGAGGUGAGGUCCCCGUCCCUGAACCUGCUGUGCUCUUCCUGCAGAGGCCCCUGGGAGGCCCAGGCUUGGGGACAGCGCUGGCUCUGGGCUGACCCAGCCCCAGGACAGUCACUCUGCCCCCUGGUGCCUCAGUUUCCACAUCUGUAGCACGGGGCACUGGAAAGCCCCAGAAGGCUGUGAGCACUGAGCAAGUGAGGGGAGGCCCCUGAGGCAGUCAGCUGCCCCCACGGUGACCCGGCACGGGAGAGGGCUGCUCCCUGGCACUGUGGACAGAGCCCAGAGAGGCUGUCUGUGGCCCCAGGUGGGCGUAGUGACAGCUGGCUUCAGCCCCAGCUCGGGCUCUGGCUGCGAAGACCACAGUGUGGGCUCCAGUGUGGCCAGGCUGGGAAUGGGUGUAGCCGGAGCUGGGCAGGGCAGCAAGGGCCUCCAGGCCGGGCCCAGCCCCAGCCUCCAUGCCGAGGUACACGAGUCAGGGAUCCGGCCCGGCUAUAGGGCUGCCCCGCUGGGCAGGGGGAUCUUAUAGCCGCUGCGCAGGAGCACGAGGCAGGCGCCCAGCCCCAGGGCCCCCGCCAGCAGCACGGCGCCCAGGGCCUUGAGGAAGGAAGUCCUGGUCCGGGUGAAGGAGCCGGCGCCAUGACGCCCAGCAGGGCGGUGCUGACGGUGAGCGUGUAGAGGAUGGACACAGCCGUGUUGAGCGCCACGAUCUUCCCGAACUUGGCAAAAGGGGCGAUGACGCAGAAGAAGAGGGGCACCGUGGCGAUGACGGUGGUGAGGGCGCUGGACACGAUGGCCACGCCCACGUGCCGCCGGCCUCAGGGUCCGCCACUGGCGUUGUGCGCCCGGG